Long non-coding RNA from Heterocephalus glaber (naked mole-rat), 887 nucleotides. The record is from Ensembl. NCBI's taxonomy places the organism in Eukaryota, Metazoa, Chordata, Mammalia, Rodentia, Bathyergidae.
CCCCAGCAACACCAGGCACAGCCUUAGCUUUUCUCUUUGCUGCUUCUGUCCAUGGGUGAAGAAAAGCCAUGUUUUCCCUCCUCGGCAAGGCUUGGCUCCUGGUUUUUCUCCCUAUCCUGUUCCUUUCAGCUCUGGCGUCUCCAUGCUGACCACGUUGACCGUCACCAGCCAGCACCCCCUCCCCUAGGUUUCAGCGUGUGAGAGCCUGGGGGCUGGAGAGCUGGGCUGAGGCAGCCAGCACACAACGGCCAACAGCUGACCUCAGCCACUGGCGGCCAGCUAACUGCGUGCUUCUGCUCCAACAACCCACACGACCUGGUUUUACACUAGAAGAUUCUCAAGCUCAGCUCUUAUGCCUGCCUGUGCUUGGAGUACUUGGUUGUCACUGACCUGCCUCUCUACAAGGGCCCUUCCCAGGCUUUUCCAUCCCCAAGGAUUCACCUCCCCUGAGUCUACUUAUGGAUCCUGGAUGAGAAACCCUUGGAAAGUCUGGUCCAAAUUGGCUUCCUGGAAUCCCUGGCCCAGCUUUCCUGUGUUCCUGCUCACAGGGGACUGUUCAGCGAGUAUACUCCCUCCUCAACUCCUUGUCUUCCUCUGCCCCACCCCCCAACAUGAGGGCUCUAACUUCCUUCCUGUAAUAUUGGUUCCCACCACAACCAGUCCAGGUGGAGCUGUGUUACCUCUUGGAGCCCAGUUUGUCCAUCUGCACAGCAGGAAGGAAAGUAACAGCCAACUGCCAGAGUUUGUCUCAAGGAGGAGAAAACUGAAUAUACUACAUGGACUCUGGAGCCCUGAAUAACUCUAAGCCAUGGAAAUCUGGAAGCUGUUUGCGUAAAAGGCCCAGGCAUUAUGUUUUUUGAAUGGUUAAAAGCAGUUCUCACACUAAG